CCCUUAGAUGUUCUGGGCCGCACGCGUGCUACACUGAACGGUUCAAUGGGUAAGGUAGUGCGAAAACAUGACCUAAUCUCGAAAUCCGUUCGUGCUGGGGAUAGAAGCUUGCAAUUAUCCUUCUUGAACGAGGAAUACCUUGUAAGCGUGAGUCAUCAUCUCACGCUGAAUACGUCCCUGCCCUUUGUACACACCGCCCGUCGCUCCUACCGAUUGAGUGUUCCGGUGAGGCUUUGGGAGAAUGGCCUCAACAUGAGUUUAUCGUGUUUUGCCGUUUGAACUUAGUCAAACCUUAUCACUUAGAGGAAGGAGAAGUCGUAACA
Molecule: ribosomal RNA, 323 nt
Filed under: uncultured eukaryote
Lineage: Eukaryota
Description: partial 18S ribosomal RNA
Rfam family: Eukaryotic small subunit ribosomal RNA
Source: RNAcentral